Molecule: ribosomal RNA, 520 nt
Filed under: uncultured Glomus
Lineage: Eukaryota; Fungi; Glomeromycota; Glomeromycetes; Glomerales; Glomeraceae
Description: SSU rRNA
Rfam family: Eukaryotic small subunit ribosomal RNA
Source: RNAcentral
AGCAGCCGCGGUAAUUCCAGCUCCAAUAGCGUAUAUUAAAGUUGUUGCAGUUAAAAAGCUCGUAGUUGAAUUUCGGGGUUAGUAGGUUGGUCGUGCCUCUGGUAUGUACUCGCCUUACUGAUUCCUCCUUCUUGAAGAACUGUAAUGCCAUUAAUUUGGUGUUGCAGGGAAACAGGACUGUUACUUUGAAAAAAUUAGAGUGUUUAAAGCAGGCCAUUGCCUGAAUACAUUAGCAUGGAAUAAUGAAAUAGGACGUUGAUCCUAUUUUGUUGGUUUCUAGGAUUGACGUAAUGAUUAAUAGGGAUAGUUGGGGGCAUUAGUAUUCAAUUGUCAGAGGUGAAAUUCUUGGAUUUAUUGAAGACUAACUACUGCGAAAGCAUUUGCCAAGGAUGUUUUCAUUAAUCAAGAACGAAAGUUAGGGGAUCGAAGACGAUCAGAUACCGUCGUAGUCUUAACCAUAAACUAUGCCGACUAGGGAUCGGAUGAUGUUAAUUUUUAAUGACUCAUUCGGCGCCUUACG